Molecule: ribosomal RNA, 2900 nt
Filed under: Proteus mirabilis
Lineage: Bacteria; Pseudomonadati; Pseudomonadota; Gammaproteobacteria; Enterobacterales; Morganellaceae
Description: Bacterial large subunit ribosomal RNA
Rfam family: Bacterial large subunit ribosomal RNA
Source: RNAcentral
GUUAAGCGAAUAAGCGUACACGGUGGAUGCCUAGGCAAUCAGAGGCGAUGAAGGACGUGCUAAUCUGCGAAAAGCGUCGGUAAGGUGAUAUGAACCGUUAUACCCGACGAUAUCCGAAUGGGGAAACCCAGUAUCCAAUGGAUACUAUCAUUAACUGAAUCCAUAGGUUAAUGAGGCGAACCGGGAGAACUGAAACAUCUCAGUACCCCGAGGAAAAGAAAUCAACCGAGAUUCCCCUAGUAGCGGCGAGCGAACGGGGAGCAGCCCAGAGUCUUAAUCAAUAACAGUGUCAGGAGAACGGUCUGGAAAGUCCGGCAGUAAAGGGUGAUAGCCCCGUAUCUGAAGAUGCUGUUAUUGUGAACUCGACGAGUAGGGCGGGACACGUGUUAUCCUGUCUGAAUAUGGGGGGACCAUCCUCCAAGGCUAAAUACUCCUGAUUGACCGAUAGUGAACCAGUACCGUGAGGGAAAGGCGAAAAGAACCCCGGCGAGGGGAGUGAAAAAGAACCUGAAACCGUGUACGUACAAGCAGUAGGAGCCUCUUUAUGGGGUGACUGCGUACCUUUUGUAUAAUGGGUCAGCGACUUAUAUUCUGUAGCGAGGUUAACCGUAUAGGGGAGCCGUAGGGAAACCGAGUCUUAACUGGGCGAAUGAGUUGCAGGGUAUAGACCCGAAACCCGGUGAUCUAUCCAUGGGCAGGUUGAAGGUUGGGUAACACUAACUGGAGGACCGAACCGACUAAUGUUGAAAAAUUAGCGGAUGACUUGUGGAUGGGGGUGAAAGGCCAAUCAAACCGGGAGAUAGCUGGUUCUCCCCGAAAGCUAUUUAGGUAGCGCCUCGUGAACUCAUCUUCGGGGGUAGAGCACUGUUUCGACUAGGGGGUCAUCCCGACUUACCAACUCGAUGCAAACUGCGAAUACCGAAGAAUGUUAUCACGGGAGACACACGGCGGGUGCUAACGUCCAUCGUGAAGAGGGAAACAACCCAGACCGCCAGCUAAGGUCCCAAAGUCAUGGUUAAGUGGGAAACGAAGUGGGAAGGCUCAGACAGCCAGGAUGUUGGCUUAGAAGCAGCCAUCAUUUAAAGAAAGCGUAAUAGCUCACUGGUCGAGUCGGCCCGCGCGGAAGAUGUAACGGGGCUAAACCAUGCACCGAAGCUGCGGCAGCGACACAAAGUGUUGUUGGGUAGGGGAGCGUUCUGUAAGCCUGCGAAGGUGUACUGUGAGGUAUGCUGGAGGUAUCAGAAGUGCGAAUGCUGACAUAAGUAACGAUAAUGCGGGUGAAAAACCCGCACGCCGGAAGACCAAGGGUUCCUGUCCAACGUUAAUCGGGGCAGGGUGAGUCGACCCCUAAGGCGAGGCUGAAAAGCGUAGUCGAUGGGAAACGGGUUAAUAUUCCCGUACUGGUGGUAACUGCGAUGGGGGAACGGAGAAGGCUAGGUUGUCCGGGCGACGGUCGUCCCGGUUCAAGCAGGUAGGCAGAGUGAUUAGGCAAAUCCGGUCACUUAAUGCUGAGAUGUGAUGACGAACCACCAAGGUGGUGAAGCAAUUGAUGCCCCGCUUCCAGGAAAAGCCUCUAAGCUUCAGGUUACCAACAAUCGUACCCCAAACCGACACAGGUGGUCAGGUAGAGAAUACUCAGGCGCUUGAGAGAACUCGGGUGAAGGAACUAGGCAAAAUGGUGCCGUAACUUCGGGAGAAGGCACGCUGGCGGUAGGUAAAGUCCCUCGCGGACGGCGCUGAAGCCAGUCGAAGAUACCAGCUGGCUGCAACUGUUUAUUAAAAACACAGCACUGUGCAAACACGAAAGUGGACGUAUACGGUGUGACGCCUGCCCGGUGCUGGAAGGUUAAUUGAUGGGGUUAGCCGUAAGGCGAAGCUCCUGAUCGAAGCCCCAGUAAACGGCGGCCGUAACUAUAACGGUCCUAAGGUAGCGAAAUUCCUUGUCGGGUAAGUUCCGACCUGCACGAAUGGCGUAAUGAUGGCCAGGCUGUCUCCACCCGAGACUCAGUGAAAUUGAACUCGCUGUGAAGAUGCAGUGUACCCGCGGCAAGACGGAAAGACCCCGUGAACCUUUACUAUAGCUUGACACUGAACAUUGAGCCUUGAUGUGUAGGAUAGGUGGGAGGCUUUGAAGUGUGGACGCCAGUCUGCAUGGAGCCAACCUUGAAAUACCACCCUUUAACGUUUGAUGUUCUAACCUAGGCCCAUAAACUGGGUCGGGGACCGUGUCUGGUGGGUAGUUUGACUGGGGCGGUCUCCUCCUAAAGAGUAACGGAGGAGCACGAAGGUUGGCUAAGCAUGGUCGGACAUCAUGCGGUUAGUGCAAAGGCAUAAGCCAGCUUGACUGCGAGAGUGACGGCUCGAGCAGGUACGAAAGUAGGUCUUAGUGAUCCGGUGGUUCUGAAUGGAAGGGCCAUCGCUCAACGGAUAAAAGGUACUCCGGGGAUAACAGGCUGAUACCGCCCAAGAGUUCAUAUCGACGGCGGUGUUUGGCACCUCGAUGUCGGCUCAUCACAUCCUGGGGCUGAAGUAGGUCCCAAGGGUAUGGCUGUUCGCCAUUUAAAGUGGUACGCGAGCUGGGUUUAGAACGUCGUGAGACAGUUCGGUCCCUAUCUGCCGUGGGCGUUGGAAGAUUGAGAGGGGUUGCUCCUAGUACGAGAGGACCGGAGUGAACGCACCACUGGUGUUCGGGUUGUCAUGCCAAUGGCAUUGCCCGGUAGCUAAGUGCGGAAGAGAUAACCGCUGAAAGCAUCUAAGCGGGAAACUUGCCUCGAGAUGAGUCUUCCCUGUCGCUUUAAGCGACCUAAAGGAACGUUUAAGACUAAGACGUUGAUAGGCUGGGUGUGUAAGCGUAGCGAUACGUUGAGCUAACCAGUACUAAUGAACCGUGAGGCUUAACC